UUAAGCGACUAAGCGUACACGGUGGAUGCCCUGGCAGUCAGAGGCGAUGAAGGACGUGCUAAUCUGCGAAAAGCGUCGGUAAGGUGAUAUGAACCGUUAUAGCCGGCGAUGUCCGAAUGGGGAAACCCAGUGUGAUUCGUCACACUAUCGUUAACUGAAUACAUAGGUUAACGAGGCGAACCGGGGGAACUGAAACAUCUAAGUACCCCGAGGAAAAGAAAUCAACCGAGAUUCCCCCAGUAGCGGCGAGCGAACGGGGAGCAGCCCAGAGUCUGAAUCAGCUUGUGUGUUAGUGGAACGGUCUGGAAAGUCCGACGGUACAGGGUGAUAGUCCCGUACACCAAAAUGCACAGGCUGUGAACUCGAAGAGUAGGGCGGGACACGUGGUAUCCUGUCUGAAUAUGGGGGGACCAUCCUCCAAGGCUAAAUACUCCUGACUGACCGAUAGUGAACCAGUACCGUGAGGGAAAGGCGAAAAGAACCCCGGCGAGGGGAGUGAAAAAGAACCUGAAACCGUGUACGUACAAGCAGUGGGAGCACCUUCGGGUGUGACUGCGUACCUUUUGUAUAAUGGGUCAGCGACUUAUAUUCUGUAGCAAGGUUAACCGUAUAGGGGAGCCGCAGGGAAACCGAGUCUUAACUGGGCGUUAAGUUGCAGGGUAUAGACCCGAAACCCGGUGAUCUAGCCAUGGGCAGGUUGAAGGUUGGGUAACACUAUCUGGAGGACCGAACCGACUAAUGUUGAAAAAUUAGCGGAUGACUUGUGGCUGGGGGUGAAAGGCCAAUCAAACCGGGAGAUAGCUGGUUCUCCCCGAAAGCUAUUUAGGUAGCGCCUCGUGAAUUCAUCUUCGGGGGUAGAGCACUGUUUCGGCUAGGGGGUCAUCCCGACUUACCAACCCGAUGCAAACUACGAAUACCGAAGAAUGUUAUCACGGGAGACACACGGCGGGUGCUAACGUCCGUCGUGAAGAGGGAAACAACCCAGACCGCCAGCUAAGGUCCCAAAGUCAUGGUUAAGUGGGAAACGAUGUGGGAAGGCACAGACAGCCAGGAUGUUGGCUUAGAAGCAGCCAUCAUUUAAAGAAAGCGUAAUAGCUCACUGGUCGAGUCGGCCUGCGCGGAAGAUGUAACGGGGCUAAACCAUGCACCGAAGCUGCGGCAGCGACACUAUGUGUUGUUGGGUAGGGGAGCGUUCUGUAAGCCUGCGAAGGUGUGCUGUGAGGCAUGCUGGAGGUAUCAGAAGUGCGAAUGCUGACAUAAGUAACGAUAAAGCGGGUGAAAAGCCCGCUCGCCGGAAGACCAAGGGUUCCUGUCCAACGUUAAUCGGGGCAGGGUGAGUCGACCCCUAAGGCGAGGCCGAAAGGCGUAGUCGAUGGGAAACAGGUUAAUAUUCCUGUACUUGGUGUUACUGCGAAGGGGGGACGGAGAAGGCUAUGUUAGCCGGGCGACGGUUGUCCCGGUUUAAGCAUGUAGGCUGGUUAUCCAGGCAAAUCCGGAUAAUCAAGGCUGAGGUGUGAUGACGAGGCACUACGGUGCUGAAGUAACAAAUGCCCUGCUUCCAGGAAAAGCCUCUAAGCAUCAGGUAACAUCAAAUCGUACCCCAAACCGACACAGGUGGUCAGGUAGAGAAUACCAAGGCGCUUGAGAGAACUCGGGUGAAGGAACUAGGCAAAAUGGUGCCGUAACUUCGGGAGAAGGCACGCUGGUGUGUAGGUGAAGUCCCUGCGGAUGGAGCUGAGACCAGUCGAAGAUACCAGCUGGCUGCAACUGUUUAUUAAAAACACAGCACUGUGCAAACACGAAAGUGGACGUAUACGGUGUGACGCCUGCCCGGUGCCGGAAGGUUAAUUGAUGGGGUUAUCCGUAAGGAGAAGCUCUUGAUCGAAGCCCCGGUAAACGGCGGCCGUAACUAUAACGGUCCUAAGGUAGCGAAAUUCCUUGUCGGGUAAGUUCCGACCUGCACGAAUGGCGUAAUGAUGGCCAGGCUGUCUCCACCCGAGACUCAGUGAAAUUGAACUCGCUGUGAAGAUGCAGUGUACCCGCGGCAAGACGGAAAGACCCCGUGAACCUUUACUAUAGCUUGACACUGAACAUUGAGCCUUGAUGUGUAGGAUAGGUGGGAGGCUUUGAAGCGUGGACGCCAGUCUGCGUGGAGCCAACCUUGAAAUACCACCCUUUAAUGUUUGAUGUUCUAACGUUGGCCCCUUACCGGGGUUGCGGACAGUGUCUGGUGGGUAGUUUGACUGGGGCGGUCUCCUCCCAAAGCGUAACGGAGGAGCACGAAGGUUAGCUAAUCCUGGUCGGACAUCAGGAGGUUAGUGCAAUGGCAUAAGCUAGCUUGACUGCGAGCGUGACGGCGCGAGCAGGUGCGAAAGCAGGUCAUAGUGAUCCGGUGGUUUCUGAAUGGAAGGGCCAUCGCUCAACGGAUAAAAGGUACUCCGGGGAUAACAGGCUGAUACCGCCCAAGAGUUCAUAUCGACGGCGGUGUUUGGCACCUCGAUGUCGGCUCAUCACAUCCUGGGGCUGAAGUAGGUCCCAAGGGUAUGGCUGUUCGCCAUUUAAAGUGGUACGCGAGCUGGGUUUAGAACGUCGUGAGACAGUUCGGUCCCUAUCUGCCGUGGGCGCUGGAGAAUUGAGGGGGGCUGCUCCUAGUACGAGAGGACCGGAGUGGACGCAUCACUGGUGUUCGGGUUGUCAUGCCAAUGGCACUGCCCGGUAGCUAAAUGCGGAAGAGAUAAGUGCUGAAAGCAUCUAAGCACGAAACUUGCCCCGAGAUGAGUUCUCCCUGAGACUUUAAGUCUCCUGAAGGAACGUUGAAGACGACGACGUUGAUAGGCCGGGUGUGUAAGCGCAGCGAUGCGUUGAGCUAACCGGUACUAAUGAACCGUGAGGCUUAACCUU
Molecule: ribosomal RNA, 2901 nt
Filed under: Klebsiella pneumoniae
Lineage: Bacteria; Pseudomonadati; Pseudomonadota; Gammaproteobacteria; Enterobacterales; Enterobacteriaceae
Description: bacterial LSU rRNA
Rfam family: Bacterial large subunit ribosomal RNA
Source: RNAcentral